CAAAUGAGGGAGGCUCUUGGUGACUUCUGGUUUGUUCCUCAUCGGAGUCGGAGCGGAAUCCGCAAUCAUGCAUGGUUUCGCCCAAGCUCACUUGCUGGAGGGUCCCGAUCAGGACCAGAACCACCCUUGUGGGGUAGUGAAGAAGUGGGAAAUUACCUGGAGGGUUGAGGGGAGUUGCAACUCCCUUCCCUGACAGGAAAAUCCCUCCCAAAGGCAAGCUGCAGCAGUGGUCCUAAAAUGGCCGCCACGAAGACAAAGAACACUCUGGGAAACUAAGUUUUGUGCUGGAGCAGAGAAGUAGCGAGCAGUGUGAACCAGGCAAAGGACAUAGCUUUUGAGGUACCCCAGUAUUAAAAUAAAGGGCUAUCUUGGAGGGAAGUGUGUGAAA
This is a non-coding RNA of Pseudonaja textilis, 388 nucleotides long. The record is from RefSeq and is a predicted model, not a curated record. Lineage: Eukaryota; Metazoa; Chordata; Lepidosauria; Squamata; Elapidae.